AUGUUCGAUCUUAUUUUUUUUUUUGAUAAAAGUGGGUUUGGAGAGGUCAUGACUUUAAUUAAUGUUAAUCCCACUAUUUUGGAAGAGUGUCAACUUCACAUGCAUGUGGAUCGUGUUGAAAAUAUUGUAUGUGAUGGCUAUUUUGUUGAAUUUUCUUAUGAUCCCACAUGUAAUUAUUAUGAGAGAGGAAAAUAUGGUUUUAGAAACUUUCAUGUUACUAAAUUACCUCUCGUUAUGUUGAGAUUGCCAUUGUUUCUUUCUGCUUCCUUGCAUAUGCUAGUUUUUGCUUGUUGUGAUAAUUUGUUUGCCUAUAAGAUGCCUAUGCAUAGGAAGUAUGUCAGACUUAGAUGUGUUUGUCACGUGUUUCAUGAUGCUCUCUUUGCGCUUCAAUUCUUGUCUUUCAUGCGAGCAUCAUCGAAAUCUCAAUGCCUAGCUAGGGGCGUUAAACGAUAG
RNAcentral lists this ribosomal RNA (453 nucleotides) under Triticum aestivum (bread wheat). Its description in RNAcentral is "partial small subunit ribosomal RNA". The record is from RNAcentral. Lineage: Eukaryota; Viridiplantae; Streptophyta; Magnoliopsida; Poales; Poaceae.